GAAAAGUUAGUUAACCAUAAUAUAAGAUUGUCAAUCUUAAGUCACCUUUAGAGGUACUUUUCG
This 63-nucleotide transfer RNA is filed under the name Nephtys sp. 'San Juan Island' YV-2008. RNAcentral's name for it is "tRNA-Asp". The record is from RNAcentral. Lineage: Eukaryota; Metazoa; Annelida; Polychaeta; Phyllodocida; Nephtyidae.